UUGUCUUUUAAAUGAAGACCUGUAUGAAUGGCACAACGAGGGCUUAACUGUCUCCUUUUUCCAGUCAAUGAAAUUGAUCUUCCCGUGCAGAAGCGGGAAUACCUACAUAAGACGAGAAGACCCUAUGGAGCUUUAGACACCAGAAUAGAUUAUGUUAAGCACCCCUAAUAAAAGAAUAAAACUAAUUAACCCCUAUUCUUAAUGUCUUUGGUUGGGGCGACCGCGGGGAAACAAAAAACCCCCAUGUGGAUUGGGAACACCUCCCUCCUACAACCCAGAGUUACAACUCAAAGUAACAGAAUUUCUGACCAACUAUGAUCCGGCACUAGCCGAUCAACGGACCGAGUUACCCUAGGGAUAACAGCGCAAUCCUCUUUUAGAGCCCAUAUCGACAAGAGGGUUUACGACCUCGAUGUUGGAUCAGGACAUCCUAAU
Molecule: ribosomal RNA, 435 nt
Filed under: Chromidotilapia guntheri (Guenther's mouthbrooder)
Lineage: Eukaryota; Metazoa; Chordata; Actinopteri; Cichliformes; Cichlidae
Description: partial 16S ribosomal RNA
Rfam family: Bacterial large subunit ribosomal RNA
Source: RNAcentral